GGCCGGGUAGUCUAGAUUGGUAUGAUUCUACCUUGGGGUGGUAGCGGUCGUGGGUUCAAAGUCUCAAAGCUGCGGUUUUGUUUGACGGACAAAUCCCACCUCGGUCACCA
Molecule: transfer RNA, 110 nt
Filed under: Candidatus Heimdallarchaeota archaeon
Lineage: Archaea; Promethearchaeati; Candidatus Heimdallarchaeota
Description: tRNA-Pro
Source: RNAcentral